GACGGAGGAUGCAAGCGUUAUCCGGAAUGAUUGGGCGUAAAGCGUCCGCAGGUGGCAGUUCAAGUCUGCUGUCAAAGACCGGGGCUCAACCUCGGAAAGGCAGUGGAAACUGAACAGCUAGAGUAUGGUAGGGGCAAAGGGAAUUCCUGGUGUAGCGGUGAAAUGCGCAGAUAUCAGGAGGAACACCGAUGGCGAAGGCAGGUCUCUGGGCAUUAACUGACGCUGAGGAGCGAAAGCAUGGGGAGCGAACAGG
This 253-nucleotide ribosomal RNA is filed under the name uncultured bacterium. RNAcentral describes it as "partial 16S ribosomal RNA". It matches the Rfam family "Bacterial small subunit ribosomal RNA", at positions 524 to 776 of the family's 1533-position model. The record is from RNAcentral.